UGCCCUGUAGCUCAAUGGCAGAGCAGCCGUCUGUUAAGCGGUAGCGUGUAGGUUCGAGUCCUACCGGGGCAG
This 72-nucleotide transfer RNA is filed under the name Planctomycetaceae bacterium SCGC AG-212-F19. It matches the Rfam family "tRNA". From Rfam's summary of the family: Transfer RNA (tRNA) molecules are approximately 80 nucleotides in length. Their secondary structure includes four short double-helical elements and three loops (D, anti-codon, and T loops). Further hydrogen bonds mediate the characteristic L-shaped molecular structure. tRNAs have two regions of fundamental functional importance: the anti-codon, which is responsible for specific mRNA codon recognition, and the 3' end, to which the tRNAs corresponding amino acid is attached (by aminoacyl-tRNA synthetases). tRNAs cope with the degeneracy of the genetic code in two manners: having more than one tRNA (with a specific anti-codon) for a particular amino acid; and 'wobble' base-pairing, i.e. permitting non-standard base-pairing at the 3rd anti-codon position. Lineage: Bacteria; Pseudomonadati; Planctomycetota; Planctomycetia; Planctomycetales; Planctomycetaceae. The record is from Rfam by way of RNAcentral.